GAACUGAAGAGUUUGAUCCUGGCUCAGAUUGAACGCUGGCGGCAUGCCUUACACAUGCAAGUCGAACGGCAGCACGGGAGCUUGCUCCUGGUGGCGAGUGGCGAACGGGUGAGUAAUACAUCGGAACGUACCCA
RNAcentral lists this ribosomal RNA (134 nucleotides) under Betaproteobacteria bacterium. RNAcentral's name for it is "partial 16S ribosomal RNA". It matches the Rfam family "Bacterial small subunit ribosomal RNA", at positions 1 to 132 of the family's 1533-position model. The record is from RNAcentral. Lineage: Bacteria; Pseudomonadati; Pseudomonadota; Betaproteobacteria.